Octopus sinensis (East Asian common octopus) is the source of this 2687-nucleotide long non-coding RNA. RefSeq lists it as uncharacterized. The transcript has 6 exons. NCBI's taxonomy places the organism in Eukaryota, Metazoa, Mollusca, Cephalopoda, Octopoda, Octopodidae. The record is from RefSeq and is a predicted model, not a curated record.
GUAAUUCAUUCAUUCAACGAAGCCCCCUAUUCCUAAAGGAUGUCGUUGAACUAACAACAGUUCCCUAAGUAUACGGGUGGAAAAGAGUGGAGGAGGGGACGAGAUCGGGGGCGAUAGACAAUGGCCCAGUCCAUCUAGUAACAAGACUACUACAACGGGAAGGGACAGUUCGUUGCUUAUAGCAGUGAGAUCUGUAUAUAAUUGACCAGCGACGAUGUGCUCAAAGCUUCCAUGGCUACAGUUAAUUUGGAGAUGGUUGAUUCCAAAUUAGCUGUUGUGCGCUGGGUACACGAACACGAUAUCCUCAAUUAAUACCUAGCAACCCUAAUUGGUUAUGGGGACUCCUCAUCUGUAUGUGCGUGUUUGUCUAAAACCCCAAUCAGUCUCAAAGGAUCAGAGCUUGAUUCUGGUUACUUGACAUUUAGCUUUGACAUAUUUUCAUCACAGUCUGUGUACAACGAACUAAAUCAGGAAGAUAUAGAAGUAUAUAUAACACAGUACAAGGAAAUACCCGUUCUCAAUUCGAACUCAAUGUUAGUAGGUGUAAACCUCGUAAUUCUGUCCGCUACUACACAUAUACAGAGAAGACACGUAGGCCGAAAGAGCAAUGGCUAUUUUAUUAAAAGUUUUAGUAUAAAUUUUGUGAUCGUUUGUGUUUCAUUAAACGCAACAAAAUAACUCAGUACUGCUUAGGAGGAUCAUAUUGAGCCAAAUUUUCUUAGAGAACCCAAUAUCAGUGCUUUAGGCACAAAACCUCGUAGGAAAUAAGAGUAUGUGACAUGGAAAUGGUUACAACUGCGAAUCGAAAUAGUUGUUACCACCAGCAGACAUUCUUAAGAUUCUAGCAAAGAUUAUACAUAUAUAAAAAAAGAGAGAGAGAACUUUUGGUGAGACAACAGUGCAUACAUACAAGAAAUAAAUAGGCCAUGGGAACGUACGAUAUAUAUAUUAAUAUUAUAUUAGAUUAGAUAAUUGUAGACAUAAAUAUACCCUCGUGUAUAAACUUUUUUCGUAAGGUCGUACUAAUCCAGAACUUCAUGUAGCAUAUUCAGUUUUAGAUUCUUCCGCCUCUCAUGGAGCAUCGGGUGACGCGAGAUAUCUUCUAACCUAGCAAGGUUGCAAACCCUCGCUAUGAAUUCCCACCCUGCCUGUCAAUGGAAGGUAUUUUUAAUAUUCCACUCCUACACAAAGUUUAGAGAUGGUGAAACCACUCGUUAAUAAGUAUCAGUAAAUAUUGCACAUUGCGGUUUUCAAAGAAGAGCGCCAUUCUAUCGAUCCAUUCUAUCGAUCCAGCCAACAUCGAUAAACGAUUACUUAGGUCAAUUCAACCAAAUAUCUAUCUAUCUAUCUAUCUUUCUCUCUCUCUUUCUAUAUAUAUAUAUAUAUAUAUAUAUAUAUGUAUGUAUGUAUGUAUAUAUACACCCACGCCUUCUUCCUGGUAGUGCCCCAGUUUGGCCGCAGCCCAAUGACUGAAGCGAAUAACAAGAUGUUGCUUUCUGUAGCGUGGAAAUAAAUAAACGUUAAAUUUUGGGAUCAAGGACGAAAAAUCCAGGAUCAUGUUAAAAGAAGACGAAACGAAAUGUGUUGGACCAAGAUGAUUAAUGCAGCGGUGACUGACUCAAAGUGCUAUAGAUCAGAUUUGCAUCGAACGGAACUUAUUUUCAACCAAAAGGUAAAGUGUAACUAGAGCAAAUCACUUGAAAAUAAGCUUAAAAUGCAUUGAUAAAGCAUUCUCCCUCCUGUUAAAUGAAGGGACUUCACGGACACAACAGAUACUCACCCACAGAGAGAGAGAGAUGACUUGAUUUCGAUUUCCGGUCGAACCAUUUCCGAUCGCUUACGUGUCUCAUGGCCUUGGGACAUGAAUAAACACCUUCAAUAAAACCUUUAUUGUGCCCCGUUGUGAGUGUCACUUAACAUCUGGUCAUGGGGAAAUAUCUUACUUGGAAACAGAUGAGGGUUGGCAAUAGGAAGUGCUUCCAGCUGUAGAAAAUCCACCCUUAAUAAAAAUUUUCUCCAAUCCAUGCAAGCAGGGAGAAGAUGAACACUAAAUGAUGAUGUGUUACAUGCUACCCGCUAAGGCACAAGUCCUGAAUUUUGUGGGGAAUGAGGUGAAGCAGACAGCUGAGAACAUUGAUAUUAGUAUGAUCAAGUUAGAUCUUGAAUGAAUAUCUGGUCUUUGAGUGUAUGGGGCCUGCAGGCUGCUAGAACUGCAAUUUGAACUGAAAACAGUUAUACAGUGUUCUUAAUCCUGUGUCUAUAACUGAAAAUUGUGUAUUUGCCAGGAGGACAACAGUACAGUACCAAUGCAAUGUGAAUCAUAAACCUUUUGUUCAACAGAUCCAGUACCCUAAUGAUCUGUAAAGCCCUAAUUUCUUAUGUUAUGAGGUUGGUGAGAUAAACCUUCCAUUUGGAGAGGAUGCAAGUUUAAGAUCUCUUAUAACAGCUGGAGCAAUAUUGAGUAAAGUACUCCUUCAUGCCACCCUGAAGAGAAUUUGAACUUGUAACCUAUUCACUUGCAACAUCUCACCUCUAACCCUAAUGACUCGGCAAGAUAGAAGACUACGACAGUUACAUUAUCUUUGAUCUUCCACUCAAUAGAAAUAAUCCAAGAUUCAACGACGUGAUUUCACCAGCUGCGAGUCUCUUCAAAGAAAAUAGAUUCUUCAAAUAAAUAUAUAAAUUUA